UGCUUAAUUCGAGGCAACGCGAAGAACCUUACCUGGGUUUGACAUGCAUGGAUUAACCUUUCGAAAGAUAGGCCACGCCUUCGGGUGGAACAUGCACAGGUGCUGCAUGGCUGUCGUCAGCUCGUGCUGUGAAGUGUCGGGUUAAGUCCCUUAACGAGCGCAACCCCUAUCGUUAGUUGCUAACGCGUCAUGGCGAGUACUCUAGCGAGACUGCCGGUGUCAAACCGGA
This 229-nucleotide ribosomal RNA is filed under the name uncultured bacterium. Its description in RNAcentral is "partial 16S ribosomal RNA". It matches the Rfam family "Bacterial small subunit ribosomal RNA", at positions 944 to 1167 of the family's 1533-position model. The record is from RNAcentral.